CUGGCUCAGAUUGAACGCUGGCGGCAGGCCUAACACAUGCAAGUCGAGCGGUAGCACAGAGAGCUUGCUCUCGGGUGACGAGCGGCGGACGGGUGAGUAAUGUCUGGGAAACUGCCUGAUGGAGGGGGAUAACUACUGGAAACGGUAGCUAAUACCGCAUAACGUCGCAAGACCAAAGUGGGGGACCUUCGGGCCUCAUGCCAUCAGAUGUGCCCAGAUGGGAUUAGCUAGUAGGUGAGGUAACGGCUCACCUAGGCGACGAUCCCUAGCUGGUCUGAGAGGAUGACCAGCCACACUGGAACUGAGACACGGUCCAGACUCCUACGGGAGGCAGCAGUGGGGAAUAUUGCACAAUGGGCGCAAGCCUGAUGCAGCCAUGCCGCGUGUGUGAAGAAGGCCUUCGGGUUGUAAAGCACUUUCAGCGGGGAGGAAGGCGUUAAGGUUAAUAACCUUGGCGAUUGACGUUACCCGCAGAAGAAGCACCGGCUAACUCCGUGCCAGCAGCCGCGGUAAUACGGAGGGUGCAAGCGUUAAUCGGAAUUACUGGGCGUAAAGCGCACGCAGGCGGUCUGUCAAGUCGGAUGUGAAAUCCCCGGGCUCAACCUGGGAACUGCAUUCGAAACUGGCAGGCUAGAGUCUUGUAGAGGGGGGUAGAAUUCCAGGUGUAGCGGUGAAAUGCGUAGAGAUCUGGAGGAAUACCGGUGGCGAAGGCGGCCCCCUGGACAAAGACUGACGCUCAGGUGCGAAAGCGUGGGGAGCAAACAGGAUUAGAUACCCUGGUAGUCCACGCCGUAAACGAUGUCGAUUUGGGAGGUUGUGCCCUUGAGGCGUGGCUUCCGGAGCUAACGCGUUAAAUCGACCGCCCGGGAAGGACGGCCGCAAGGUUAAAACUCAAAUGAAUUGACGGGGGCCCGCACAAGCGGUGGAGCAUGUGGUUUAAUUCGAUGCAACGCGAAGAACCUUACCUGGUCUUGACAUCCACAGAACUUUCCAGAGAUGGAUUGGUGCCUUCGGGAACUGUGAGACAGGUGCUGCAUGGCUGUCGUCAGCUCGUGUUGUGAAAUGUUGGGUUAAGUCCCGCAACGAGCGCAACCCUUAUCCUUUGUUGCCAGCGGUCCGGCCGGGAACUCAAAGGAGACUGCCAGUGAUAAACUGGAGGAAGGUGGGGAUGACGUCAAGUCAUCAUGGCCCUUACGACCAGGGCUACACACGUGCUACAAUGGCAUAUACAAAGAGAAGCGACCUCGCGAGAGCAAGCGGACCUCAUAAAGUAUGUCGUAGUCCGGAUUGGAGUCUGCAACUCGACUCCAUGAAGUCGGAAUCGCUAGUAAUCGUAGAUCAGAAUGCUACGGUGAAUACGUUCCCGGGCCUUGUACACACCGCCCGUCACACCAUGGGAGUGGGUUGCAAAAGAAGUAGGUAGCUUAACCUUCGGGAGGGCGCUUACCACUUUGUGAUUCAUGACUGGGGUGAAGUCGUAAGGGGAAA
This 1488-nucleotide ribosomal RNA is filed under the name Klebsiella pneumoniae. Its description in RNAcentral is "bacterial SSU rRNA". It matches the Rfam family "Bacterial small subunit ribosomal RNA". The record is from RNAcentral. Lineage: Bacteria; Pseudomonadati; Pseudomonadota; Gammaproteobacteria; Enterobacterales; Enterobacteriaceae.